AUGUUAAAAAAUUUUAUCUCAGAAUUUUUAAUCAAAAUGUCAUUACUGGAUCUUCAGGUGAAAUGUCUAACCCUACUAAACCUACACAAUAAUGUAAACAAGAGCAAAUGUGAAUUUAUUGAAGCAAAAAUUGCAUUUCUAGCCUGCUUUUCCAAGUCUUUUUUUCUCUUUUUUUCUGACUUUUAUUUGACUUGUACCUGUCCACUCCUCCGGUUGCAAGUGGAAAGCAGUAUACCAGGUGAGCUUCUGAGCAAGUUUACUAUUUCAGAAAAGCCAUACAGUAAGUAUAGAGCAGGUUAUGUGAUGCAAAUGUCAAAAUGCAUUAGUUUACAAAUUAUGCACCAUGAGAAAAGCUUUUUGAUUUCAGAACCAUGCAAGAAUAAGUCUUUAUGAAUCAAUAAUCUGCCUGUUAAAUAAAAAGUAAUGUUAAAAGGAAUAAAAGUGUUUUACUAGUGUUGUAAUUGUAUAGGUAGCCUAUUUUUUCAAUGUUGUAUAGGUAGCUAAGUUUUGCAAAAAAUGUAGGUAGAGGGAUGUUUUUUCAAUGAGUUUAGGUUGAAAAUGUACAUAAAAUACAAAGACUUGAACUAAACCACUGAACUCCUUUUUAGAGAUUUAAUAUUCUGAACCCCGUAUAAACAAAACAGCUCAAACAUUAUUCAAAUAUCUUCUUUUGUGUUAGGCACUGCAGAACAAAGAAAGUCACAUAAGGUGAGUAAACAAUGACAGAAUUGUCAUUUUUGGGUGAACUAUCUCUAAAAUAACGAAAAGCAUUCUGCUCAAAACAUCACGUGUGGCCAGAUUAAAAUUUCAAAAGUAUAUAUGUAACAUGCAAGAUGUAUAAACAGCAACAGAUGGCCACUUGCGAUCAAAUGACCCGAGACAGAUUUCAAAACCAGGUGCAAACACAUCCACAGACUCUGUAAAGUAUUAGAUUCAAGGUUCAACCACUAAAAAGCAGCUAUAGCCAACAAACUUAAAGCUCACAAAAAGAAUUGGCAUAACAUUAAUUUGCCUUUCAUGCUGCAGAACAAUGUGGCCAGGUCUUGAGUUCAUGCAUGCAUACCUGUAAGGGAGUGUACUUUAAAAGCUUGCCUGGAUAGGCCUAACUUGACACUCAUUUUCCAGCAAAGGGUGAAACCAGGUUGACUUGAGCUCCACCCCUUCAAUGUGUAAACAAAUUUCUGGUCCAGCUGGCUCUAUUCACCCAUUGGCUGAUACUGUCCCUGACAAUCACAGUGACAUUAUGUAAGCACUGUCUGCAGGUGGAGGUGUGUCCCUCCAUAUUUCACUGGCACUCGAGCGUGUCAAGUUAACCUUGUCUGCAUCUGUCACAAGCUCAGCUGGGUUCAGCAAACUCAACCCUACUGACACUGUGGUAGUUUGAACAGCACAGAUACUGAGGACAGACAAGAACGAGUACUUUACAAGCGACAGGUGAAUGUGUAAAACCGAACAAGUGAGCAGACACACUAGAGCACUUGUGAUUAGGCCAUACACUGUGUCUUAAUUACUACUCAUUAGCAUUUAAAAGUAAGUGGCACUGGGGCCAUCAAACAGAGAUUUGCUUACUGAGUUAUAGCACUGAGCAAUUCACCACCACACAAAUCCCUCUGAAAAAAGCAUUCACUGAAUAAUCAGAGCAGACAGGUUACAAAGGGCAGCUCAUACAGUUUGAAAUGAAUUACAACCACAGAAAAAAAGUGGGAAACACUAAUCCACAUGCUCUCUGAAACAAUAGGAUUUUCAUUAAAUGCGCUAGGAUUUCUUAAUCAUCCAAGAGCCUCGGAAAUGCACACUAAUAAUAAGCAUGAAAACUGAGCAUGCGGGGGCAAUACUCUGCAGAACACAGUGAAACUGUAGCACGGUGACCCCACAAAUAAUCCUCCUUUAUUUAUUUGAACAUGCUGGUCUUUCAACAUUCAAUGCAAGAAUGUCUCACGCACUAAAUUUUCAUUUCUCACUCUCUCUGUAUUCUUUCUUUGCCUCUUUAUGGCAUGCAAAGUCGAAAAGUGAAUUAAAUCUCUUUAGAGAACUGGAUCAAGGGAGAUAUUUUCUGUUCAAACAGCCAUUUGGGAGUAACAAUGUUUUCACAUGGAUUUUUUUUGUUUUUGUUUUUUUUUGGCUUCACAUUUGCUGCAAAGGUCCAAUGAGCUGUAAAACUGCACAUGAUACACAACAUAAAAAUAACUGCAUAGAAUAAUGUAGAUUAAUAAUAUUCUGCACCUGUCAUAAAACCAUAAACCUGUGCACACCGCAUAAUAAAGUCUGUUUAAAAGGAAAAGCUAUACAUUGCAUAGUAUACAUAUUAUAGUACACUAUUAUAUAGUACAGUAUGUGCAUUAACCAUUGUAAGUGUGCACACAAUUUUCAAUUAAAUUAAUAAAUUAAAAAUAAAAGUUUUGCAUUGCAGUGUAGUGUAGAAAACUUAGCACAGUAUAUUAUAGUUUACUCGAGUUCAGUGAAAUAUAUGAUGUAUUGUCAUAUGUGCAAUAAAGUAUAGUGGUAUGGCUAUUAUAUAGUAUAGUAUAGUAUAGUAUAUGCAACUGCCCCAUAAAUCUUUGCACAAUCACCUCAGAUCAAAAGUCAAAACAAAUGUGUUUCAUCGUACAGUGAAUUAUAUCACAGUAUACUGCAUUAGAGUAUACUAUAGUAUACAUUACAGUGUAAAUUGUAACGUAUGCCUAACUGUUAUAUGACACAUGCAAUAAAUCUUUGCACAUGUAGAAUGGUUAAGGCUAUAUGCAUUGCACAAUAUAGUUUGGUACAGAACAGUACAUCACUGUUGUUAUCUGUGUACAACCUCAAGUCUAUAUGGUGCAUAGUGUAUUAAUGUACAGAUCACAUAGUACAGAAUAGUAGUUCAUAUAAUGUUAUUCUAACGAAAGACCUACUUGAUGCUGUCUUAAUAAACGGUUUACAUAAUAAACGCUAAAUUGCACGGUUUCUUUAGUAAAGCAACAAAACCUGGCACUGAAUGUCGGUCACAAUGCAUGAAGCCCCAUCAGCCCUGCAAACACAUGAAAUAUACACAGCAACAGCUCAUUAUAUAACCAGCCGGGGUGAACCGAGUGACAUCACGACGGGAUACACUCAAUGGCUGCGUCUCAAAGCCUAGUAGGGCUGCCUAGACAGCAUCACUGGAGUCUGCUCGGAACGCGCCGAACAAAUCACACCGCGUUUUUAGAAACCUUACGAUAUGGUGCGCUCGCUAGGGUUUGGGACACAACCGAUGUCUAUUAAAACACUGUCACAGUGAAGCGGAGACAAAAGUGUUGCAGUCUACUUGUAAGUGCGAUUCCCAAACAGACACGGGCGAUAAAUGCAUUUUUAGAAACCGCAUCGCCGUGGAUUAGACGGGUUGAAGUCGCAACUAUACUACAGACUAAACUUCCGCGAUUGUGUUUUCACAUCAAAAGGCUUCCAGUAACAGUGUUGACUCAGCAGAAGUGCGCACAGCUAGGACGAGUGUCAGUUUGUUUUUAAAAAAGUACAGCUGACUGAUCAAUAACUCGCAGAUAAAUGGAUGUUUAUAAGACUAUCUGGAGCGAUAAAAGGAGGUGGGGUGGCGCAGUUACUCAGCCCCGGCGAGAGCGCUCCCUGCUCGGGCUUCCAGCUCGCAAGUAACCGCCCCGCUUACCGUGCGCGACUUCAAAGUAGUUAUAUAGUUCUAUAAUUUUUAAUCGAGAUGACAUACAGCACAUCUUAAACAUCUCGCCUGGUCGACUGCAGACAGAUUGACAUAAUAAUUAGUGCAAUUGUCACAGUUAAUAUUUACAAAGGUUUUUAAAUAAACGUCACACUCUGUUCCUCCUUUAGUUCCCAGCCAUUUUUCCAAGAUCGCAAGCAAAUCCAAAAGACACUUUUGUGCUGGUAAAUUAGAUGAACGGACUUACUGUACGGUAUAACGGGCAAGGAAGCGCGAGGCUCUCCGUGCGUUAUUCUCGCGCACUGCCGGUGGAAUCGUCUGCCCUCCUCUCGUACAAUGAUGUCUGCUGCAGCCAAGCUAAUAGCUCUGUCGCUCCGUGCCCCCACCUCCAGUGAGUGAGUGAGUGAGUGUGUGACGGAGGGAGUGAGUGUGUGGAGGCGUGUGUAAGAGUGUGUGUGAAUGUGUAAUCCAAAUAUGGAGCAGUUGGCCGGCCCAGUUAAAGAGAUGGGAUUGGAGGCUGCUCCAUUAAAAGUAUGCUAUAGAAAAACAUAAUGACUUUUGUGGCACCAUAAACAAAUGUUAUAUUUUUAAGUUAAUAUUAAAUGUCACUAGUUACUCUAAUCUGAUAUACACCACAGCGUUCCGGGAGUGCUGCUAUUUAGUACAAAACCACUGGGAAGGGAAACUGCACAUAGUUU
Molecule: long non-coding RNA, 4344 nt
Organism: Carassius auratus (goldfish)
Lineage: Eukaryota; Metazoa; Chordata; Actinopteri; Cypriniformes; Cyprinidae
Source: Ensembl